UCGUCUUACCCAUUACACAGGGCACAGUAAAAUUACGUCCAGCUAGUUACAAUUACUACAGUGCAGUGAAUUACAGUAAUUACAGUACAGUGCACUUAUUAUGUAUUAAUAAUAUUAAUAAAAUUAACAACAACGCAAAAGUUGUCCCCGCUGCACCGCCACAAUCGGCCGGUAACACGUACUCUCGUUGAUAAUAUAAUGCUGUGUAUAGACAAUACAAAAUGGCGUGUAGAUUCGAACAAAAAAACAACAAAAUGAAAAACCCGCU
Cinara cedri is the source of this 268-nucleotide non-coding RNA. The record is from the annotation of a GenBank genome assembly. NCBI's taxonomy places the organism in Eukaryota, Metazoa, Arthropoda, Insecta, Hemiptera, Aphididae.